Molecule: ribosomal RNA, 1522 nt
Filed under: metagenome
Description: bacterial SSU rRNA
Rfam family: Bacterial small subunit ribosomal RNA
Source: RNAcentral
AGAGUUUGAUCAUGGCUCAGAUUGAACGCUGGCGGCAGGCCUAACACAUGCAAGUCGAACGGUAACAGGAAACAGCUUGCUGUUUCGCUGACGAGUGGCGGACGGGUGAGUAAUGUCUGGGAAACUGCCUGAUGGAGGGGGAUAACUACUGGAAACGGUAGCUAAUACCGCAUAACGUCGCAAGACCAAAGAGGGGGACCUUCGGGCCUCUUGCCAUCAGAUGUGCCCAGAUGGGAUUAGCUAGUAGGUGGGGUAACGGCUCACCUAGGCGACGAUCCCUAGCUGGUCUGAGAGGAUGACCAGCCACACUGGAACUGAGACACGGUCCAGACUCCUACGGGAGGCAGCAGUGGGGAAUAUUGCACAAUGGGCGCAAGCCUGAUGCAGCCAUGCCGCGUGUAUGAAGAAGGCCUUCGGGUUGUAAAGUACUUUCAGCGGGGAGGAAGGGAGUAAAGUUAAUACCUUUGCUCAUUGACGUUACCCGCAGAAGAAGCACCGGCUAACUCCGUGCCAGCAGCCGCGGUAAUACGGAGGGUGCAAGCGUUAAUCGGAAUUACUGGGCGUAAAGCGCACGCAGGCGGUUUGUUAAGUCAGAUGUGAAAUCCCCGGGCUCAACCUGGGAACUGCAUCUGAUACUGGCAAGCUUGAGUCUCGUAGAGGGGGGUAGAAUUCCAGGUGUAGCGGUGAAAUGCGUAGAGGUCUGGAGGAAUACCGGUGGCGAAGGCGGCCCCCUGGACGAAGACUGACGCUCAGGUGCGAAAGCGUGGGGAGCAAACAGGAUUAGAUACCCUGGUAGUCCACGCCGUAAACGAUGUCGACUUGGAGGUUGUGCCCUUGAGGCGUGGCUUCCGGAGCUAACGCGUUAAGUCGACCGCCUGGGGAGUACGGCCGCAAGGUUAAAACUCAAAUGAAUUGACGGGGGCCCGCACAAGCGGUGGAGCAUGUGGUUUAAUUCGAUGCAACGCGAAGAACCUUACCUGGUCUUGACAUCCACGGAAGUUUUCAGAGAUGAGAAUGUGCCUUCGGGAACCGUGAGACAGGUGCUGCAUGGCUGUCGUCAGCUCGUGUUGUGAAAUGUUGGGUUAAGUCCCGCAACGAGCGCAACCCUUAUCCUUUGUUGCCAGCGGUCCGGCCGGGAACUCAAAGGAGACUGCCAGUGAUAAACUGGAGGAAGGUGGGGAUGACGUCAAGUCAUCAUGCCCCUUACGACCAGGGCUACACACGUGCUACAAUGGCGCAUACAAAGAGAAGCGACCUCGCGAGAGCAAGCGGACCUCAUAAAGUGCGUCGUAGUCCGGAUUGGAGUCUGCAUCUCGACUCCAUGAAGUCGGAAUCGCUAGUAAUCGUGGAUCAGAAUGCCACGGUGAAUACGUUCCCGGGCCUUGUACACACCGCCCGUCACACCAUGGGAGUGGGUUGCAAAAGAAGUAGGUAGCUUAACCUUCGGGAGGGCGCUUACCACUUUGUGAUUCAUGACUGGGGUGAAGUCGAAACAAGGUAACCGUAGGGGAACCUGCGGUUG